GGAAGUAAAAGUCGUAACAAGGUCUCCGUUGGUGAACCAGCGGAGGGAUCAUUG
This 54-nucleotide ribosomal RNA is filed under the name Diaporthe phaseolorum. RNAcentral describes it as "partial 18S ribosomal RNA". It matches the Rfam family "Eukaryotic small subunit ribosomal RNA", at positions 1778 to 1831 of the family's 1831-position model. RNAcentral also lists the same sequence under 11 other names. The record is from RNAcentral. Lineage: Eukaryota; Fungi; Ascomycota; Sordariomycetes; Diaporthales; Diaporthaceae.